Molecule: long non-coding RNA, 1228 nt
Organism: Pipra filicauda (Wire-tailed manakin)
Lineage: Eukaryota; Metazoa; Chordata; Aves; Passeriformes; Pipridae
Exons: 3
Source: RefSeq, a predicted model, not a curated record
CAUGGUUUUCAGCAUUCUUAUUUCUAUGAAGCACAGUUCUCAUUAUCUGCGUUUUUAAGGGGUUUGUGCUGAGAAAAACCUUUCCUGCAGCUACCUGAACAAAAAAACUCUGUUCAGACUGCUGGUUAAGUGACUUGUUUAUGGCCAAAUAAACGUUAGGCCAGCUGUCAGGCUUUGUGUUUAUAGCUAGCAGAAAGAAUUGCUAAUUGUCUGGGCAGCUGAUAGCACUGGAGUUAAAAAUGUUUAAAGUCAUAGAGGCUGUAAUGGCGAACAACCCCCAGGGAAAAGACUGGAGUCCUGGUUAAACGUGAGGUUCUGUACUGCAGGAAAGACUCAGAAGAGAUUCAAAUUGUGAAAGUUAAUGCCAGAUAGCCACAGGAUUCUGCAGACAAACCUCUUUCCUCAGUGAUGGAUAUCCUCCUGUGCAGGUGAAGUGUUACAAGUGAUUUCAGAUUUGCUGAGAAAUCCCAGGCAGCCUGUUGUCCAGAAAUGGAAGUCUUGACUAGGAGCCCACCAGUUCAGAAAUACCCAAGAAGUGUUGAAAAGUCUGAGACCUAGUAACAUCCAGUGCUGUCUGAGAAAAGUCUGCCUCCCCAUGUUCUUCCAUCAUAACUGCUGAGCAGAGCACAUUCCACAAGUAACAGAAGAGAGAAAGGGGUUACUCAUGCUCUGAGUGUUCCAAUAUAUUUCUGAGGAAGUGAUAUAACACAGGCUUGCUCAAGGAAGAGUGCAGCAUACAGUGCAACACAAGGGGACCUCAAGGUCCAGCCUUCAACACCUUUGGAGGCACACGGGGCUUUGAAGAAGCAAGGUGAAAAUGUCUGGAAAUUCCCAGAAAGGAGAAUGUACCCUACCACCGAAGGCUGUCAGACAAAAUAUAGUAGUACUGAUUCAUGUCUUCACUUUCUAUCCUCAGCUUCUUUCUCUUUGAACAAGAGUUCUUUCAUUUUUACCACUCUAUGUUGUUCACAGUCAAAAUGCUACAACUCCAGAUAGGAGGCGUGAACAGGAGGGACGCUAGACGAAUAAAUUUCACACUGUUCAUAACUUGCUACAUUAUGAUUCUUCCAAGAAAACUUCACUUUGUCCUAAGAUGUACCUUUAGGUUAAGUAUUAACAAAAUGACUACGGUUUUGCGGUGAGUUUUUCAAGAGGUCAAUAAACUCUGUUGAAACAGUCAUUGUACAAAGGACAUCUCCCUCUUUCAUUCAUGAGGAAAGAGAGCAAC